RNAcentral lists this ribosomal RNA (581 nucleotides) under Cheilosia longula. RNAcentral's name for it is "eukaryotic LSU rRNA". The record is from RNAcentral. Lineage: Eukaryota; Metazoa; Arthropoda; Insecta; Diptera; Syrphidae.
GAGUUCAAGAGUACGUGAAACUGCUUAGAGGUUAAGCCCGAUGAACCUGAAUAUCCAUUAUGGAAAAUUCAUCACUAAUACUAUGAUAUUUAUAAUAUUAUAGAAAUGGUGUGCAAUUUUUCCAUAUAAGGACAUUGUAAUCUGUUAAUGUAUUAAAUAUUUAUUAAAAGAUCUUAUACAUAAGUUUAUUCAAAUUAGUUAUUUUCGGAUUUCUAACAUAGAAUAAAUGUAUUUGAUUUAAUAAAUCAUUGACAGAUUUAUAUAUAAUAUAGUGCUUAAAUUUUGAAAGAAAUUUUACAAUAAUAUGAUAAUUCAAUUUGUUAUAUUUAUUGUAUGCAUUUAUAUGAUUAACAAUGCGAUAGAUUCAGGAUACCUUCGGGACCCGUCUUGAAACACGGACCAAGGAGUCUAACAUAUGUGCAAGUCAUUGGGUAUUUUUAAUAAAACCCAAUGGCAUAAUUAACUUAACUGUUUUUUAAAUGGGAUUAGUUUAUAUUUUAUUAUGAAAUAUUAAUUCAAUCCCGGGGCGUUCUAUAUAGUUAUGCAUAAUAAUAUUUAUAUUAUUUAGUCUCNACUAAGUC